Molecule: ribosomal RNA, 1553 nt
Filed under: human gut metagenome
Description: bacterial LSU rRNA
Rfam family: Bacterial large subunit ribosomal RNA
Source: RNAcentral
GCGUCUAGCGGUACUGACUGCAAUCAACCUCCGAAUGCCAGGAAUUGUAGAUUCAGGAGUCAGUGUAUGAGGUGAUAACGUCCAUACGCGAAAGGAAAACAAUCCAGACCAUCAACUAAGGUCCCUAAAUAUAUGUUAAGUGGGAAAGGAUGUGGAGACGCACGAACAGCUAGGAGGUUGGCUUAGAAGCAGCCAUCCUUUAAAGAGUGCGUAAUAGCUCACUAGUCGAGUAUCUCUGCGCCGAAAAUGUACCGGGGCUAAACAUAUUACCGAAGUUAUGGAUUUAUAAUUUAUUAUAAAUGGUAGGGGAGCGUUCUAAGGGCGCUGAAGGUAGAUCGUGAGGACUACUGGAGCGCUUAGAAGUGAGAAUGCCGGUGUGAGUAACGUAAGGUAGGUGAGAAUCCUACCCACUAUUUGACCAAGGUUUCCAGGGUCAAGUUCGUCUUCCCUGGGUUAGUCAGGACCUAAGGCGAGGCUGAAAAGCGUAGUCGAUGGACAACAGGUUUAUAUUCCUGUACUGCUUAUAAGACUGAUGGAGUGACGGAGAAAGCUAGGAAGGGCCAGUUAUUGGAUUCUGGUCUAAGCAAGUAGGCUGAUACAUAGGAAAAUCCGUGAUAUCGAUAAGGCUGAGAUGUGAUGGCGACGUGGUCUACGGACUACUAAGUCUUCUGAAGCUAUGCUUCCAAGAAAAACUUCUAAAGAUAUGUUAUAAGUACCUGUACCUAGAACCGACACAGGUGGUCAAGGAGAGAAUCCUAAGGUGAGCGAGAGAACUAUGGUUAAGGAACUCGGCAAAAUUACCCCGUAACUUCGGAAUAAGGGGAGGUUUCUUCGGAAACCCGCAGUGAAUAGGUCCAGGCAACUGUUUACCAAAAACACAGGUCUCUGCUAAAGCGUAAGCUGAUGUAUAGGGGCUGACGCCUGCCCAGUGCUGGAAGGUUAAGAUGAUUUGUUAGGUGGACGAAAGUCGAUAACACCGAAGCUUUGAUUUGAAGCCCCAGUGAACGGCGGCGAUAACUAUAAUCGUCCAAAGGUAGCGAAAUUCCUUGUCAGGUAAGUUCUGACCCGCACGAAAGGCGUAAUGAUCUGGACGCUGUCUCAACCAUAGACUCGGUGAAAUCUUAAUACCUGUGAAAAUGCAGGUUACCCGCGACAGGACGGAAAGACCCCAUGGAGCUUUACUGUAGCUUGAUAUUGAAGUUAGGUAAUUUAUGUAGAGGAUAGGUGGUAGACUAUGAUGUAUGGACGCCAGUCUUCAUACGGAGUCGCCCUUGGAAUACCACCCUUAAAUUAUUUGACCUCUAACUUACUCCCGUUAUCCGGGAGGAGGACAGUGUCUGGUGGGCAGUUUGACUGGGGCGGUCGCCUCCCAAAGAGUAACGGAGGCGCUCAAAGGUUCCCUCAGAUUGGUCGGAAAUCAAUCAAAGAGUGUAAUGGUAUAAGGGAGCUUGACUGCGAGACCUACAAGUCGAGCAGGUGCGAAAGCAGGACAUAGUGAUCAGGCGGUAGAAUAUGGAAUUGCCGUCGCUUAACGGAUAAAAGUUACCCUGGGG